Molecule: non-coding RNA, 73 nt
Organism: Schistocerca serialis cubense
Lineage: Eukaryota; Metazoa; Arthropoda; Insecta; Orthoptera; Acrididae
Source: the annotation of a RefSeq genome assembly
GUUUAGAUGGCUCAGUGGGCAGAGUAUCUGCCUAGCAAGCAGGAGACUUGGGUUCGAAUUCCAGUCUGAUACA